This is a long non-coding RNA of Rattus rattus (black rat), 443 nucleotides long. RefSeq lists it as uncharacterized. The record is from RefSeq and is a predicted model, not a curated record. The transcript is spliced from 3 exons. Lineage: Eukaryota; Metazoa; Chordata; Mammalia; Rodentia; Muridae.
UUUCCUUUGUAUAAAUGUGUACAAGCCACGCCUCAGACACUAAGGUCACUGGAUGUAUGUGUGGGUACCUUGCAAGGAAAAGUAGGAAUGGUUCAGGCAGCAAAGAACACAGAAGACAAUGUCUGCAGUUUAUUUAUAUGGUGGAUUACACUUAAUGGAUUAUGGUUGUUGGACCACCUGUGAAUCUCUGGAAUGAAGCCUACUUAAUCAUGCUGGAUAUUUUUUUGAUGUGUUCCUGGAUUUUGUGUGUAAGUAAUUUAUUGAGAAUUUUUGCAUCUAUGUUCAUAAGGGAAAUUGGUUUGUAAUCUUUUGUUGAGUUUUUAUGUGGUUUGCUUACCAAAGUAACUAUGGUCUCAUUAUAAAUUGGUCAAUGUUUCUCCUGUUUUUCUUUGGUGGAAUAAUUUGAGAAGUAUUGGUUUUAUAUCUUACUUGAAAGUCUUGUA